RNAcentral lists this ribosomal RNA (486 nucleotides) under uncultured bacterium. Its description in RNAcentral is "bacterial SSU rRNA". It matches the Rfam family "Bacterial small subunit ribosomal RNA", at positions 28 to 507 of the family's 1533-position model. The record is from RNAcentral.
GAUUAACGCUAGCGGCAAGCCUAAUACAUGCAAGUCGAACGGGAUUUCGGGUAGCAAUAUCUGGAUGAGAGUGGCGCACGGGUGCGUAACGCGUAUGCAAUCUACCGCUGACUGGGGGAUAGCCCUCCGAAAGGAGGAUUAACACCGCAUAACACUAUGAAGGGGCAUCUCUUUGUAGUCAAAACUCCGGGUGGUCAGCGAUGAGCAUGCGUCCGAUUAGCUAGUUGGCGAGGUAACGGCUCACCAAGGCGAAGAUGGUUAGGGGUUUUGAGAGAGAGACCCCCCACAUUGGAACUGAGAGACGGUCCAGACUCCUACGGGAGGCAGCAGUAGGGAAUAUUGGGCAAUGGGCGAAAGCCUGACCCAGCCAUGCCGCGUGAAGGAAGACGGCCUUAUGGGUUGUAAACUUCUUUACUACGCGAAUAGAGGUUAGUACGAGAUACUAAUAGGAAGGUAGUGUAGUAAAAAGCACCGGCUAACUCCGUG